GCCAAAAACCUAGCCCUAUCUCAGCAAAUGACCCCCCAAACUAAUACCAUAAACAAAACAUUUUCUUCAUUUAGUAAAGGCGAUUGAAAAAUCAAUUAGAGCUACAAUAAUAGUACCGCAAGGAAAAGAUGAAAUAAAUAUGAAACAGAUCUUAAAGCAUUAAAAAGCAGAGGCAUAUCCUCGUACCUUUUGCAUCAUGAUCUAACUAGUUCAACCAAGCAUAAAGAACUUUAGUUUGACUCCCCGAAACUAGGCGAGCUACUUCGAGGCAGCUUAAUGAGCCCACCCGUCUCUGUUGCAAAAGAGUGGGAAGACCCCCAAGUAGCGGUGAUAGACCUAACGAGCCUAGUGAUAGCUGGUUACUUAAGAAAAGGAUCUAAGUCCAACCUAAAGCAUUAUUAAUAACACUAAACAUCUCUUAUGCUUUAGAGCCACUCAAAUGAGGUACAGCCCGUUUGAAAUAAGGAUACAACCUACACCAAUGGGUAAUUUUCAUAGUAAUUUAAACAAGUGGGCCUAAAAGCAGCCACCUUUAAAAAAGCGUCAAAGCUUUCCUAUCAAAUACACUAAUACCACAAUAUAUUAAUAACCCUUCAUAAGUAUUAAGUUAUUCUAUAACCUUAUAGAAGAAUUCAUGUUAGAACUAGUAAUGAGAAGAUAGCCCUUCUCUUAGAUGUAAGUGUAAAUCAGAAUGGACAAACCACUGCUAAUUAUACAUUAAUGAAUAUAAAACAAUAACCUUACUAGAAAACUUUGUUUUUACAAAUGUUAACCUGACACUAGCACAUCACAAGAAAGAUUUAAAGAAAAAGAAGGAACUCGGCAAAUAUUAACCUCGCCUGUUUACCAAAAACAUCGCCUCUUGACCCACAUAAGAGGUCCAGCCUGCCCAGUGACUAAGUUCAACGGCCGCGGUAUCCUAACCGUGCGAAGGUAGCGUAAUCACUUGUUCUUUAAAUGAGGACUAGUAUGAAUGGCACCACGAGGGUUAUACUGUCUCCUUUUUUUAAUCAAUGAAACUGAUCCCCCCGUGAAGAAGCGGGGAUAAAUUUAUAAGACGAGAAGACCCUAUGGAGCUUUAAACAAUUAUAGCACUGGCCCACACCUCCCCUUCUUCCGAGAUAUAAUUAUUAUACAGGCCAACAUGACUAUUAGUUUUAGGUUGGGGUGACCGCGGAGCAAAAACUAACCUCCACGUUGAACGGAGCUACUCCUGAGCUAAAAGCUACAUCUUUAAGCACCAAUAAACUGACAUCAAUUGACCCAAUAUAUUGAACAACGAACCAAGUUACCCUAGGGAUAACAGCGCAAUCCAUUUCAAGAGCCCCUAUCGACAAAUGGGUUUACGACCUCGAUGUUGGAUCAGGGUAUCCCAGUGGUGCAGCCGCUACUAAAGGUUCGUUUGUUCAACGAUUAAAACCCU
This 1423-nucleotide ribosomal RNA is filed under the name Dendropsophus mathiassoni. RNAcentral describes it as "partial 16S ribosomal RNA". It matches the Rfam family "Bacterial large subunit ribosomal RNA", at positions 267 to 2597 of the family's 2925-position model. Lineage: Eukaryota; Metazoa; Chordata; Amphibia; Anura; Hylidae. The record is from RNAcentral.